GCUGUAGCCGCUGUUGGUGGACGAUGGUGGCCUCAACUGAAGAAGUUGUGUGCCCUCUUCACUCCCCCACCGGCCCUCACCCCUCUCGUCUUCUUCCCGACUAAAAUGGUGCCAGAAGCUCGUCGCCUCUGCCUUUUCUUUCUCCCUCCGGCUGUGGCACCAUUCGUCUCUCAGAGAAAUGCAGGAGAACAUGUUGGACCAAGGAGGAGGGGUGGCCCCGGUGUGGGAGUUUGUGAUGCAUCCAGUGUAGCAUGGUGGCUCUGGCUGAGGAAUGACUGUCUUUCCUUGUAGAAAUAGGAAGGCAACAAUGAGGAAAUUAGCCAAUGAACUGGUUGAUAAAUGGGUAUUUCCGUGUUCUUUAUAGAAGGCAAUUCUUAAGCUUGCUGAUGCGCACAUUGAUAUUUUGUAUGGGAGAUAUGGUGAGUGCGAAGUAAUGUGCAGUGAUUUCCCGAGGUCGUGUGUGCUUGUUUUGUUCUGAUGCCCCUGAAAUGAUGUAACUGUGCAGGUUUCCGAUGGCGUUGUCCAAGAACAAGCAGCUCGAAAAGGGAGGAUUUUGUUACCCUAAUGCAGAUGAUCCCUGGCUUCUGAAACUUUAUUAUACGAACCGUGUUGGAGCUGCAGAGACAUGAGCUGCCUCUUGGAGCCGCAUACAGUCUAUUCGGGUGUGUACUUACCUGCAGUAUGUAUGGCAGUUGGAGCAGCUUGCCAAUUAGUACCAUGAAAGGUAAUAUACCUCUCCACCUCUAUGUAUCAUGGAUAUCAUUGUUGGGUGAGAAAUGCUAGAGCUUACCACCGUUCUGUUGUGCUAGAGCUUAGCACCGUUCUGUUGUGCUAGAUGUUUGGUGUUUCUCUUUAAUAAGAAACUAUUUCUCAGGAAGCGGAAUGCAACUAUGUUGCACCCCUCUUCCAGUUGGCAGGCAUUCACGGUAAAUCAUGAGUGUACGCCCUUUUUGUGUAUUUUAAUUUAUCCUGCAUUUGGUUCAGUUGCUACAUCCAGUAAUGGACUGCAAUUUAACCUGAGAGUUACACCGUCCUUGCUUAAAAAUCAUUACAGGCGACACUCAUUUUUUUUUCAUUUGUCUUUCCAUUCUCCUUAAGAAGCUCUUUUAGUUUGUAUGCCCGGUAGGCCUUAAAGAUGAUGUGAUAAUCUAUUCCCGCGUAAACUAUGGGGUUACUUGUUUCUUGAUAUCAGCUAUGACUUGCAUGAGCGAGAAUACACUAUUUUUACGUAUUUUGAUUUGUUGAGAUUUUCAAGUCACCUUUAUAUUUCUGUAGUAAUCUGAUAAUGUCUUAGGUUUCAGUUUGCACUUAUUUUACAAAAUUUUAUUUGUUAUACAUGUUAUCUUUAUACAUGAAAGAUUGAUUCUCCUUAAAAAAUCUUAUACUACCUCCGUUCCAAAAAAAGCUUCUCCCCUUUUCCCCAAAAUGGAUGUAUCUAUAACUAAAAGGUGUCUAUGUACAUCCGUAUUUGGACAAAGUUGAGAAGCUUUUUUUAGGACGGAGGUAGUACAUGAUUUGAAGCUUUCAAAAACCUACUAAAUUCUUGGACAACUAAACAAACAUCAGCUCAUUCAAACUUAUGGUUACAGUAUUGUCUUGCUUUUGCCUCGCGCCGGGGCGCACCGGGUCAUCUAUUAAUCCUUGCCAAGCUCAUUGUUGAGAUAUGUGCAGGUUCAAAUUCUGAAAAGGGUUCAAGAGAUUCAUAUUGAUAUGUCCCUCUCCACUUACUCCAUUGCAAGAGCCAUUAUUGGGGACCAAGGCCGUUGGCCUCUCUCUCGCAAGGCAGGACCAUGUCAAUCGGUAGUGCUAAUGGCUGGAGGAAGUAGUAUUCUGGCUGGUGACUUAUUGUCUUAAUUUCAUUGUUCAGUUGGUAUUGUCUUCAGCCUUGAGAAUCGUUGUGGGGGUUCUGAUCUAAGUUGUGAAAGUUCGGUGGCUCACACAUUUUUUUCUUUUUAGAGACAAUGUGGACCUACUUAGUUGCCAACUCACUACUGAAACUGUUCUUGCAUUGUAUCUGAACGUAAACUUUGAGUGACCUUUUUGUGUGCAAACUUAACACACAUAAAUUUGCUCAUUGUUUCGCGAUGUAUGUCACGGUGAUCCUUGCAUCUACUUUGCGGUGAAAUCAUGUUUAUUAAAUAUUAGGGAAUUAUUUUUACUAGGGAUAAAAUUUAGUUGAGUAAAAGAGGAAUAAAGAAUGCAGUUUUCUGUUUGCUUUUCCCUUGAGAGGAUGGACGAUGGGGAAGAAACAAGCUAAAUUGCGAAUCAAGGAAGAGUGCAGAUCAACCAGUAGGCCUUGGUGUUUCAGUAUAUUUAGUUGUUUUCUCUUUCUGUUUGGAUGUGUGGAUAUCGAGUGUUUAGAGAACCGGCCCAAUGCCUUGUGAUUUACUUGUCGGCGUAUUCUGCAGCUUCCUCAGCCAGCCUCGGGCACAACACUAUCACCACACAUUUAGGUCUUGUUUGGAUAUUGAGUUUCUAGGGAUCUGGGUUUUUGUAAACAAACUUUCUGGUGUGGCAGCCUAAAUCUUGCUUGGAUCGGUUGAGGAAUUUAUGUAUUUAUGGUUAUUGCUUAUUUUGCUAUAGAUUUAUUUAUGUUAUUGGCCUUUUCUAAGAGUAGAUUGGUUGAUGAACUGGCUUAUUUAUAGUUCUUAGCUUCAGUCUAACAAAUAAUACGAGCAACUAUGCCUUUAAUAUACGUUUUCUUAACUGCUAUUGAUUAUAAGAAUGUUUCCUCAUUGCUGUAGAUUAUUGUUUUGCUACAUACUUAUUGUUCUGUUUCCGCUGAAGCAAGACCUUUUGCUUGCUAUUUUACAGAGGUAGACGAUCAGAUGGAACAUGUACUGAAUUUGAGCCCACGAAGGUAUUUUUGCUAUAAUUUAUUCUGUUCAUCUCUAGCGUCACGCCUACUGUCAAUUCAGAUUAAAGCAUGGUACAGAAGUGCAUAGUUCUAAAGAAUGGAUGUUGAGCUCAGAUUUUAAUGUUUGGGUUUCGGUGGCAGGAGAUUCUUGCACUGUCGGUGACAACAGCUGGCAUUUGGUGAUUAGUAUUUUUUUUGCCUUUUAUAUUAAUGUACUUGUAAUUUAUCUUCCGUAAAUAUUUAUGAUUCAUGCUUGAGGGAUGCACAAGUAUAUGAGCUAUCAAUCAUGAAAUGGGAACUAAUUGUACUGUAUAACAAACUUUUUCAGUACGGGUAUUUGUUACACUAUUGAUUUGGAUUUAAACAAUGAUGUUUUAGUGUAGUUAUGGCGAUCCGUGAUCGCUAUAGUUUUUAAUUGCUAUUCAAUAGAAAAUGUGACCUGAUGCUUAAUAUUGCAGUGACUACGAGCAACAACUUGAGUAAGAGUGCCUGCUAUGGCUGGUCCAGGAUAGCCCCAAAAGAGCAGAUCCAUAUGGCAUGCACAAAAGUUAUUGCCAAGUGACUGCUUGAGAUCUUUUUUUUUUUUUUGUAAGGAGCUUUAACCUUCUAGGUAGCUCAUUAGACUACUGUUUGCAAUUGCCCAAUAGUUUUGUACAGUGCUGUUGUCUAAUCAAUACCAAGCGCUACAAAUUACAUGACAUUUUAAUAGACUUCUGUCCCUCCUAUGAUAUAUUUAUACUGCAUCUAUGAU
Lolium rigidum is the source of this 3608-nucleotide long non-coding RNA. RefSeq lists it as uncharacterized. The transcript is spliced from 7 exons. Lineage: Eukaryota; Viridiplantae; Streptophyta; Magnoliopsida; Poales; Poaceae. The record is from RefSeq and is a predicted model, not a curated record.